RNAcentral lists this small nuclear RNA (130 nucleotides) under Moschus moschiferus (Siberian musk deer). RNAcentral describes it as "U4 spliceosomal RNA (ENSMMSG00000013378.1)". The stretch from base 1 to 68 matches the Rfam family "U4 spliceosomal RNA". From Rfam's summary of the family: U4 small nuclear RNA (U4 snRNA) is a component of the major U2-dependent spliceosome. Lineage: Eukaryota; Metazoa; Chordata; Mammalia; Artiodactyla; Moschidae. The record is from Rfam by way of RNAcentral.
AGCUUUGUGCAAUGGCAGUAUUGUACCAAUGAGGUUUAUCCAAGGUGUGAUUAUUGCUAAUUAAAAAGGUGAUCAGCAUUGUGAUCCUAAUAGAUUUUUAAAAAUCACCUAACUUGGAAGACAGAGUUGU